RNAcentral lists this long non-coding RNA (938 nucleotides) under Rhinopithecus bieti (black snub-nosed monkey). RNAcentral's name for it is "lncRNA (ENSRBIG00000046281.1)". Lineage: Eukaryota; Metazoa; Chordata; Mammalia; Primates; Cercopithecidae. The record is from RNAcentral.
UGAAAUGUUAUUAUUUAUUUUUUCCUUCUACGCCAUAGGGAUCACUGUGUAAAGACCCAUAGGAAAUGCUUUCCUAGACGUCCUCCCAGGAAUAUCUCCUGUGCUACAACUGGAAAAAAAAUCUCCAAGUGAGAAGACCUUACUUGUCUUCUGAAAGCCUGAGAUACAGAUUUCUGCAGACAAGAGGGACAUUGUUAGAAAGAGGACUACUCAGCAGCAGCGCUGAUUCCUUGGAAAGUAGCUCACUCUUCUUUGUCCUUUGGCCAACAAUUGAGCCUGGACCUGAAAAAAGUGGUCUUUAAACACUGACUCUUGCAAAAUCCCUGUGGAGGUCUGCAAAGGCAGAGCCAGAACGAGAACUAAAGUUGAAGGGGGGGUUUGAUCCAAGUGGAAGGCAGAUAAUGAGUGGAUUAACUCAGGUCAAGGGAAGAAAAAAGUGAAGGAGAAAAAUAGAUGAAGUGGAUGCAUAUUGAAAUAACAAGUAACUGGAGGUGACCUUUUUGAUGCAGAUGGCAGAGCCAAACAGGGAACUUUGCAGCAGGCCAAAAAUACUCCUGAAACUGCAAAUGUCCCAAGAGGGAGGUGAGAGAGGCUUCCAAUGCUGAGCACAGAGAGGUCUGCUCAGUCCUCCUGCAAACAGCUGAUGAGUGGUGAAACUUGCUUUCAGAACUGAUAAAAGCAUCCCUAAGGGAGCUGAUGGCUUAUAGAAUUACUUCCAAGAGGAAACUCUUUCACUCAGAUGAUUGCAAACUGGAUCAAACUGAACUCCACAAGCAUGCUGCAUUUUAAAAAGUAAUUGUGCUCAGGUAAGAGCAUUGUGUACAUCACAGUUAGCAAAUUCAUUAAUUCCUUCAUUUAUUCUUUGAGAAUCUACUAUGUACUGAGGACUUUUAGGUGCUAGAGACCAAAUAUUGAUCAAAAUCUCUGCUUUCUUAGGA